Molecule: non-coding RNA, 621 nt
Organism: Drosophila melanogaster (fruit fly)
Lineage: Eukaryota; Metazoa; Arthropoda; Insecta; Diptera; Drosophilidae
Source: Ensembl
AAGUUUCAUUCAGUGAAGGUUAUAUAAAAAAAUGCAGUGUGAAUUUACGGUGAAAAAUUGCAGUUCUCACAGCGAGAAAACGCAUAAGUAAACAUAGAGUGCAGGACCAACCCUCUGGACCGAUAAAUGCCCAUCAAUGAGCCAAGAGUAAAUACCCAACCGAAGACACGGGCCCAGCAGUUGGUGUGUGUAAUUUGUCGUCAUUCGCAACGCCCAGCGAUAUUUCCCUGAUGUUUGCCACUUAGCAAAGGGUUCAGUAUCCAUUGCUAAUGUUUCGAGUAUGAAUUCAAGCGAAUUUAUGUAGUGGAAGUGCUUUAAGAGAGUUUCACCAGAUGAUAACCGUGGGAAAUGGGGAUUAUAGCAUUGACAUCUGAUUUGGAGAUUUCAAGGGGCCUAAUCAAAAAUGCUAUUAAAAUAAGCUCUGGAACACUUCGCUGAACCCUCCGCUUCGGUAGGCACAUACAUCGUUUUCAAAGAAGAAGCCUCUGAGGACUGCGAACCCUCCUUCUGGCUCCUUCUGGCUGCUCAGAAUCCUCCUUCAUCAAGAUCUCGUUGUUUCCAGUAGCAAACCCAAUACGCGUUCGUCUUUUCUGCCAUUUCUGAAUUCAGUUGAGCUAUGGA